RNAcentral lists this ribosomal RNA (251 nucleotides) under uncultured bacterium. RNAcentral's name for it is "partial 16S ribosomal RNA". It matches the Rfam family "Bacterial small subunit ribosomal RNA", at positions 78 to 334 of the family's 1533-position model. The record is from RNAcentral.
CUUUUGCUGGCGACCGGCGCACGGGUGAGUAACACGUAUCCAACCUGCCCUUUACUCGGGGAUAGCCUUUCGAAAGAAAGAUUAAUACCCGAUAGCAUAAUGAUUCCGCAUGGUUUCAUUAUUAAAGGAUUCCGGUAAAGGAUGGGGAUGCGUUCUAUUAGGUUGUUGGUGAGGUAACGGCUCACCAAGCCUUCGAUGGAUAGGGGUUCUGAGAGGAAGGUCCCCCACAUUGGAACUGAGACACGGUCCAA